RNAcentral lists this ribosomal RNA (253 nucleotides) under uncultured bacterium. Its description in RNAcentral is "partial 16S ribosomal RNA". It matches the Rfam family "Bacterial small subunit ribosomal RNA", at positions 524 to 776 of the family's 1533-position model. The record is from RNAcentral.
UACGGAGGGGGCUAGCGUUGUUCGGAAUUACUGGGCGUAAAGCGCACGUAGGCGGAUCAGUAAGUUAGAGGUGAAAGCCCAGGGCUCAACCCUGGAACUGCCUUUGAUACUGCUAGUCUAGAGAUCGAGAGAGGUGAGUGGAAUUCCGAGUGUAGAGGUGAAAUUCGUAGAUAUUCGGAGGAACACCAGUGGCGAAGGCGGCUCACUGGCUCGAUACUGACGCUGAGGUGCGAAAGCGUGGGGAGCAAACAGG